This is a non-coding RNA of Babjeviella inositovora NRRL Y-12698, 71 nucleotides long. The record is from the annotation of a RefSeq genome assembly. NCBI's taxonomy places the organism in Eukaryota, Fungi, Ascomycota, Pichiomycetes, Serinales.
GCAGGAGUGUUUUAGGGAUAACAUCUAACAUUCCCAUUGUUAAGCUACGGGUUCGAGCCUCGUCUAUUGUA